GAUGAACGCUAGCAACAGGCCUAACACAUGCAAGUCGAGGGGCAGCACAUGAGUAGCAAUACGAUGGUGGCGACCGGCGCACGGGUGAGUAACACGUAUGCAACCUACCUGUAAGAGGGGCAUAACCCGGAGAAAUUCGGACUAAUACCGCAUAACACUGCCAUACCGCAUGGUAUAGCAGUUAAACAUUUAUGGUUUACAGAUGGGUAUGCGUAUGAUUAGAUAGUUGGUGAGGUAACGGCUCACCAAGUCAACGAUCAUUAGGGGUUCUGCAAGGAAGGUCCCCCACACUGGUACUAAGACACGGACCAGACUCCUAUGGGAGGCAGCAGUGAGGAAUAUUGGUCAAUGGGCGAGAGCCUGAACCAGCCAAGUCGCGUGAAGGAAGAAGGUUCUAUGAUUGUAAACUUCUUUUGUAAGGGAAUAAAAAGAGUUACGUGUAACUUAUUGUAUGUACUUUACGAAUAAGGAUCGGCUAACUCCGUGCCAGCAGCCGCGGUAA
This 502-nucleotide ribosomal RNA is filed under the name uncultured bacterium. Its description in RNAcentral is "partial 16S ribosomal RNA". It matches the Rfam family "Bacterial small subunit ribosomal RNA", at positions 28 to 523 of the family's 1533-position model. The record is from RNAcentral.